Molecule: transfer RNA, 86 nt
Filed under: Chloroflexota bacterium
Lineage: Bacteria; Bacillati; Chloroflexota
Also listed under: 3 other names
Description: Chloroflexi bacterium (soil metagenome) tRNA-Leu
Rfam family: tRNA
About the family: Transfer RNA (tRNA) molecules are approximately 80 nucleotides in length. Their secondary structure includes four short double-helical elements and three loops (D, anti-codon, and T loops).
Source: RNAcentral
GCCGGAGUGGCGGAAUGGCAGACGCAGCGGACUUAAACUCCGCGGCCCGCAAGGGCGUCCGAGUUCGAAUCUCGGCUCCGGCACCA